RNAcentral lists this ribosomal RNA (468 nucleotides) under uncultured bacterium. Its description in RNAcentral is "partial 16S ribosomal RNA". It matches the Rfam family "Bacterial small subunit ribosomal RNA", at positions 28 to 507 of the family's 1533-position model. The record is from RNAcentral.
GACGAACGCUGGCGGCGUGCUUAACACAUGCAAGUCGAACGGAGAGGCCCUGCUUUUGUGGGGUGCUCGAGUGGCGAACGGGUGAGUAACACGUGAGUAACCUGCCCUUGACUUUGGGAUAACUUCAGGAAACUGGGGCUAAUACCGGAUAGGAGCUCCUGCUGCAUGGUGGGGGUUGGAAAGUUUCGGCGGUUGGGGAUGGACUCGCGGCUUAUCCGCUUGUUGGUGGGGUAGUGGCUUACCAAGGCUUUGACGGGUAGCCGGCCUGAGAGGGUGACCGGCCACAUUGGGACUGAGAUACGGCCCAGACUCCUACGGGAGGCAGCAGUGGGGAAUAUUGCACAAUGGGCGGAAGCCUGAUGCAGCAACGCCGCGUGCGGGAUGACGGCCUUCGGGUUGUAAACCGCUUUCGCCUGUGACGAAGCGUGAGUGACGGUAAUGGGUAAAGAAGCACCGGCUAACUACGUG